UCCUACCCUUACCCCGUUCCCGUUCGGUUCGGUCCGUUCCGUUCCCGUACCCCCGUAACCCCGUAACCGUAAACCGUAACGUAGGUAGUAACGUUAACGGUUAGGGUUUCGGUUUCGUUCGUUACGUUACCGGUACCCCGGAACCCGGAACGUACGGUCCGGUACCGGUACGUAACCGUAACGGUUAACGUUAACGUACCCGUCCCGGUCGGGUAGGGUACGUACCGACCGACGAGUAGUAGUAACUAACAAGAAGUAGUACGGCGGGCCCGCACAAGCGGUGGAGUAUGUGGUUAAUUCGAUGUCGACGCGGCCG
RNAcentral lists this ribosomal RNA (316 nucleotides) under uncultured bacterium. Its description in RNAcentral is "partial 16S ribosomal RNA". The record is from RNAcentral.